UAUUUUCUAACUUCUCCAUUUAGCACCAGACAUAGCCACUAGAUUUGCCACCGAAAAUACGCCGCGUUUCAACGAAAGCAAAGAAGCUUUUCGCAAAGCAAAAGAAAAGAAUCGUAUCCUCCACCCCCAAUUUCUCACUUUAUAUGCCACCAAAAUCAAUCAAUUCAUUCAUAUUCAACUAUAUACACAUACCACAAAAUUAUAUUUUUGAGCUCGUUCCUCCCACUUUUCAAAUUGUUAACAGAUUGAGGAACAAUCAAAGGCUAAUGUGGUGGAGUUGAAGGUAGGAUUGCACUGUGAGGAAUGUAUCAAGAAGAUCUUGAAAGCCAUCAAGAAAAUUGAAGAUAUAGAAUCAUACGAUGUAGAUACGCAAUAUAAUAAGGUGAGUGUGACAGGGAAUGUGACAACGGAGAAGGUCAUUAGGGUUCUUCAAAAAAUAGGAAAGCAUGCCACUACUUGGGAUGAAUCACUCUAUGCUAAUUACUGAGUCUAAUAAUCUGCAUAUAUAGAUUACUCUUCAUCCCACUAAAUUCGUAUAUUAUUUUUUUUAACAAUAUAUUAUAAUAUCUUUCAUUUUUCUUAA
Molecule: long non-coding RNA, 583 nt
Organism: Salvia splendens (bonfire salvia)
Lineage: Eukaryota; Viridiplantae; Streptophyta; Magnoliopsida; Lamiales; Lamiaceae
Exons: 3
Source: RefSeq, a predicted model, not a curated record